CCGGCGUCUGUAGAAACCAGUAUUUUACUGGACAUUUACCUUUUCCAUCCUGUAAUUACCUUUUAAAGUGGUUAAAUACUGUAAUGACGCCAACACACCGCAGAUGUGGUACCGUCAACAGGGUUUAUUAGAAAUAAUAGCGAGCUGCUAUUCCUUAGGCUGCAGCUCGCCCCUCUAACAAAUCGUUACACUCAACUGAAUAGCUUCACUGCUAACACACACUGAACUCUCCGCUCUUCUGUCAGAUCAGCAUCGGUCCUGGUCCUCCUGCUCCCCUGAUCCCUCGCCCACAUGACAGGUCCAUCACAUGUGAGGGGGAGUCAGCAGUCAGACAGGGGAAGCCCAUAACACUCUACACAUAACAGUGAUCACAAUGCAACUCAUAACCAAUACACAUAACCAUAUGGAGCCCAGCAGAAGUAAAAUACAGAAUCGUUAAAAUACUACGGUGGCCGACAGGUGCAAACGCACAGCAAACACGAAAAAAACAAAUACAACAAAGAAAAGACGCAAACAAAAAAUACAUGUAAAAAAUAUAUAAAAAUAAGUGUUCCAGACCACUAGAGCUUUGUGUCCGACUUCAGGGUCUGCAUCCUUUCAAGCUUAUGGGCUUGAGAAACGACCCGGUCUACGGAAGUGGGGUCCUGCGAAGGCAGAGCAUUGCAGAGAGAAGCUGUAGCCUUCAGCUAGCUGCCUAGCCUCCACCUCGGGUUAUGUUGCUUAGCAGCCGUGACACAACAUGAUUUAAACAAUGUUUGUAGGCGAGAAUGUAGAUGUACAAAUCUCACAUUUCUGCUCGGUUCAUCAGUGCGUCACCUAAUUGCAAUAUCUGUCCGACGUUUUCUAAGACGUCUGCUCCCGCUGUAUUAACACCCAGCUCCCCUCGCCUGCUGCCAGCUGGUCCAGGUUUAGUAUACCACGGGAGAACACCUGACUCAUUUGGGCUUUCCCAAAUGACAGUUAAACACAUAUAUUAAUUCAGGUAACAUCUAGUUGUAAUAUUUUGGUUCACUCAAGUAUUUAAUAUAUUCCUGAGCAAAUCGGUUUGACUGAUUAAAGUUAAGUCUAAAAACAUAUUAGUACAGUACAGUCUUAGUUUUAUAACAUUAACACCUGACCCAGUGUAAGCUUCUUAGAAGUGCUACAAUUGAUGCGGUUCUAAAAUGUAUAAUCAGAACUUCACAUAACACAGAAGAGGAUGUGAUAAGUAACCGUCAGAACAGAAUUUUUAUUUAAAGGCACCAAACCACAUAUAUUUCCAGUAUAUUCAAACAUUCAAAACAAAUAACACAAACCAUUCCUCAGAGAACUGG
Molecule: long non-coding RNA, 1313 nt
Organism: Poecilia latipinna (sailfin molly)
Lineage: Eukaryota; Metazoa; Chordata; Actinopteri; Cyprinodontiformes; Poeciliidae
Exons: 2
Source: RefSeq, a predicted model, not a curated record